AUCUGGAUCUCUUGUCAGUGAAGAAAAACCAUUUGUAGCACAAGGAUCUUGGUUGCAGGUGCUAGUGCCAAAUAGUUUCCUCGAUUCAAUGGAAUCUAGUUUAAAGUUCCUCAAUGAGCCAGUUAUGGAGCCGUUGCCAAAAACUAUCAACUGGCCUGACAGAAAUUUAACUAUAACAAUUAAUCCAGAUAAUCUAUAAAAUU
This is a long non-coding RNA of Diuraphis noxia (Russian wheat aphid), 203 nucleotides long. The record is from RefSeq and is a predicted model, not a curated record. NCBI's taxonomy places the organism in Eukaryota, Metazoa, Arthropoda, Insecta, Hemiptera, Aphididae.